Molecule: ribosomal RNA, 498 nt
Filed under: uncultured bacterium
Lineage: Bacteria
Description: partial 16S ribosomal RNA
Rfam family: Bacterial small subunit ribosomal RNA
Source: RNAcentral
AUUGAACGCUGGCGGCAUGCCUUACACAUGCAAGUCGAACGGUAACAGGUCUUCGGAUGCUGACGAGUGGCGAACGGGUGAGUAAUACAUCGGAACGUGCCUAGUAGCGGGGGAUAACUACUCGAAAGAGUGGCUAAUACCGCAUGAGAUCUACGGAUGAAAGCAGGGGAUCGCAAGACCUUGUGCUACUAGAGCGGCCGAUGGCAGAUUAGGUAGUUGGUGGGAUAAAAGCUUACCAAGCCGACGAUCUGUAGCUGGUCUGAGAGGACGAUCAGCCACACUGGGACUGAGACACGGCCCAGACUCCUACGGGAGGCAGCAGUGGGGAAUUUUGGACAAUGGGCGCAAGCCUGAUCCAGCAAUGCCGCGUGCAGGAUGAAGGCCCUCGGGUUGUAAACUGCUUUUGUACGGAACGAAAAGCCCUGGGUUAAUACCCUGGGGUCAUGACGGUACCGUAAGAAUAAGCACCGGCUAACUACGUGCCAGCAGCCGCAGUAA